UACGUAGGUGGCGAGCGUUAUCCGGAAUUAUUGGGCGUAAAGGGUGCGUAGGCGGCAUGUUAAGUUUGUGGUGAAAGCGUGGGGCUCAACCCCAUUAAGCCACAGAUACUGGCAAGCUAGAGUGCAGAAGAGGGUAGUGGAAUUCCAUGUGUAGCGGUAAAAUGCGUAGAUAUAUGGAGGAACACCAGUGGCGAAGGCGGCUACCUGGUCUGUAACUGACGCUCAGGCACGAAAGCGUGGGGAGCAAAUAGGAUUAGAUACCC
Molecule: ribosomal RNA, 263 nt
Filed under: uncultured bacterium
Lineage: Bacteria
Description: partial 16S ribosomal RNA
Rfam family: Bacterial small subunit ribosomal RNA
Source: RNAcentral